AGAUGUUGUAGAACUACAACUCCCAUGGUGCUUUGUCAUUCUAAAUACAUUCUAAAGGCAUGCAAAGCAUCAUGGGAGUUGUAGUUCUACAACA
Pelobates cultripes (western spadefoot toad) is the source of this 94-nucleotide non-coding RNA. NCBI's taxonomy places the organism in Eukaryota, Metazoa, Chordata, Amphibia, Anura, Pelobatidae. The record is from the annotation of a GenBank genome assembly.